AGAGUUUGAUCCUGGCUCAGAACGAACGCUGGCGGCAUGCCUAACACAUGCAAGUCGAACGAGACCUUCGGGUCUAGUGGCGCACGGGUGCGUAACGCGUGGGAAUCUGCCCUUAGGUUCGGAAUAACAGUUGGAAACGACUGCUAAUACCGGAUGAUGUCUUCGGACCAAAGAUUUAUCGCCUAGGGAUGAGCCCGCGUCGGAUUAGCUAGUUGGUGGGGUAAAGGCCUACCAAGGCAACGAUCCGUAGCUGGUCUGAGAGGAUGAUCAGCCACACUGGGACUGAGACACGGCCCAGACUCCUACGGGAGGCAGCAGUGGGGAAUAUUGGACAAUGGGCGAAAGCCUGAUCCAGCAAUGCCGCGUGAGUGAUGAAGGCCUUAGGGUUGUAAAGCUCUUUUACCCGGGAUGAUAAUGACAGUACCGGGAGAAUAAGCCCCGGCUAACUCCGUGCCAGCAGCCGCGGUAAUACGGAGGGGGCUAGCGUUGUUCGGAAUUACUGGGCGUAAAGCGUACGUAGGCGGCUUUGUAAGUUAGAGGUGAAAGCCCGGGGCUCAACUCCGGAAUUGCCUUUAAGACUGCAUCGCUAGAAUCAUGGAGAGGUUAGUGGAAUUCCGAGUGUAGAGGUGAAAUUCGUAGAUAUUCGGAAGAACACCAGUGGCGAAGGCGACUAACUGGACAUGUAUUGACGCUGAGGUACGAAAGCGUGGGGAGCAAACAGGAUUAGAUACCCCAGUAGUCC
Molecule: ribosomal RNA, 742 nt
Filed under: uncultured Sphingomonas sp.
Lineage: Bacteria; Pseudomonadati; Pseudomonadota; Alphaproteobacteria; Sphingomonadales; Sphingomonadaceae
Description: bacterial SSU rRNA
Rfam family: Bacterial small subunit ribosomal RNA
Source: RNAcentral